RNAcentral lists this ribosomal RNA (492 nucleotides) under Triticum aestivum (bread wheat). Its description in RNAcentral is "partial small subunit ribosomal RNA". Lineage: Eukaryota; Viridiplantae; Streptophyta; Magnoliopsida; Poales; Poaceae. The record is from RNAcentral.
AUGGCCAAGGACCUCCGCAUUUGGAGCCAGAGCCUCUUUGGCAACGCAAAGCUGCAAUUCCACAUUGCCUGCGAGGUCAUCUUGCGCCUUGAUGAGGCCCAGGAAAGGCGUCAACUCUCGCCGGCCGAACGAGAGCUGAGGAAGGGCCUCAAGCUCAGGCUGCUAGGGCUGGUAGCGAUCGAGUGUUGCAGGAAGAGGCAGGCCUCUAGGCUUACCUGGCUGUGCUCUGGCGAUGCCCCAACCAAGUUCUUCAUGGCAAAAAUUUGCUCGAGAAGGAGGAAGAAUUUCGUUCAUGCUCUAAAAGUAAAUGAAACAGUAGCCACGGCGCACAGCGACAAAUAAGUGGACAUUCACAGCCAUUUUGCCAGCAUCCUCGGGUCUACCAAGCAGAGAUCAACUACGAUAAACUGGAAUCAGAUUGACAUGCCAACAAUUCAAGGCGGGGGGCUUGACAACCCUUUCUCUGAGCAAGAAGUGUGGGCAGCGAUUUAG